UACGAAGGUCCCAAGCGUUAUCCGGAUUUAUUGGGUUUAAAGGGUGCGUAGGCGGGCUAUUAAGUCAGUGGUGAAAGCCCCAAGCUUAGCUUGGGAACUGCCAUUGAUACUGAUGGUCUUGAGUACAUUUGAGGUGGGCGGAAUGUGUCAUGUAGCGGUGAAAUGCUUAGAUAUGACACAGAACACCGAUUGCGAAGGCAGCUCACUAAACUGUAACUGACGCUGAGGCACGAAAGCGUGGGGAGCAAACAGG
RNAcentral lists this ribosomal RNA (253 nucleotides) under uncultured bacterium. RNAcentral's name for it is "partial 16S ribosomal RNA". It matches the Rfam family "Bacterial small subunit ribosomal RNA", at positions 524 to 776 of the family's 1533-position model. The record is from RNAcentral.